AGAAGCAACUCCUCAUCCGUUAAAGUUUUACCAUGAGAUUGCAGCAAUUCAGUCAUAUCUUCAGGCUCCACUUCUAAUUCUAGUUCUCUUGCUAUUUCCACCACAUGUGCAAUUACUUCCUCCGCUGAAGUCUUGAACCCCACAAAGUCAUCCAUGAGGCCUGAAGAGACACAAGAGGAGAUGGAGAACGAAAUGACAGUGGAAUGCCGAAGGGGAGAAAAGUUUCGUUCUUAUCUGUCUCAAACAUCACUGAAGCAUGUGAAACAUUGUCUGAUGAAUGGAAUUGGGGAGAAAAAACAAAAUCUAAUCACAUGAAGAAUUUUUUAAUCUUUAAAGAAAUUCUGAAAUGAAUAAAGCAAAGGAAAUGAAGGAUUCAAUACCAAAAUCACAA
Molecule: long non-coding RNA, 391 nt
Organism: Eubalaena glacialis (North Atlantic right whale)
Lineage: Eukaryota; Metazoa; Chordata; Mammalia; Artiodactyla; Balaenidae
Exons: 2
Source: RefSeq, a predicted model, not a curated record